CAGAAAAUUGGCGGAUUAUCUUCGAAAAAUAUUUUGACUCAAUUUGAAUCGUGUCACUCAACCCAUUAUAAUAAACGAACCUCAUAAAAUCGUUUACCGCUUCUCCUUAAUCCAUUUGUGUAAUACUGAAUGCUAAGUAAGAGUGGAAAGCUUCCACCAUCCACCAGACCAUUACAAGCACUACAUACGCCAUCUUCAAUAUCGUAUAUUUUCAGUAGUCAACUUGACUAGCUCUUAUUGGCGGUUUUAUUCAAGAGAAGAUUCAUCCGGUGAAAAUUCAAGCAACUAUUACUGCACUAGCAAUUGGAUCGGUAAAUAGGCGAGAUCUGAAAGUUUCGGUAAAGUUUUAGAUUACAUGGCUUAGUUUCACACGCUCUUUAUAUUCUCAACCUUCCGACGCAAAUCACCAGAUUCAAUAAAUGAGUCCUACUCCUACACCUACUCUUAUCACUUGUAAUCCAAAAAAGCUCCAUUUCUUUCUUAUACGCUAAUUCACUAUUAAAUAGAAAUGUAUAUGCAAAACAGCGAGAAAUUUGUAGAUACGUUGAAUGUUGUUGCUUUCACAUUUGCAACUCUUAGUAGUUGUUCAAAACAACAAUGUCGAGCAAAGAUGUUUGCGAUGUUUGAAUGAUUCUUGGAUUGUAUUUGGAUUCCAUCGGUACUAUGGCCUGUUGAUUCGGCACCUUUGUCAUUUUAGCAACUUUUGUUUUCUUUUCUGUGUCGAUGUAGUUCUCUAUACCAUAUUCAUGUUCAUAUCAAUGUCCAUAUCAAGGUCCAUAUCAAUGUCCAUAUCAAUUUCCCAUGUUCCAUUACAUAUCCCGUGUUCUUUCCUUCUUCCAGCUUUUACAUGCUAGCCUUUUAUACAAUGAUUCCUCUCAUCUCGACUCGUUUGAUGAAUGGGCGUUUAGUUUUUGCAACAACAUAUGCGUUGGGUUAUCUCAUAUCGGGAAACACUUUCUGCCACUUUUAACUUGAACAAAGUUGGAGAAAUAAAGUGAUGGCAGAUAUUGCAAGUUGUUUAUAGUGUGCCUGUAGAAAUGUAAAAACGCUAUGUUUCGUGAAUGCCCAGCCUGUAAAUCGAAAUAAGAUUUCGUAUUUAUUAAGCAUUGGAAGAUCACAAUUGUGACUUUGUGGGUUUCGUAAAGAACAUCAUAUAGAUUUCUUUGACCAAGUGUAAUAAAGCAAAACACACGGACAUAGUAUGGAUAUGGACACAGCAUGGGUAUGGACACAAGCAACACUACCAGUCGUUUGAAACGAUGAAAUGGGCAACAAGUCGAUUUGUUUUUCAUCUAUCAAUCGUUGUAAUUCACAUGCAGCUACAAGACGACACGUUAUAUUUAGGGUGCAAAGCAGGUAGAGAUUUCAUAGGCAUAUUUCGAAGUACCAGCUUUAUGCCAAAACAUGCAUGCAUGCAAGAAACUCCAUAACUUCGUUUGCGCAACUCCUGCUUAUCGUCUUCUUUCUAUACCCAUACUGUUGGAUCAAUGAAUGAACGUAGCAAUAGAUACAAGAUAUAGCGCCACACUUUUGAGCAUAUCCUAAUGACAGUAAUUCGUUUUGUUCUAAGCGACCAAGUAUUCGCUCUUGCAACACUAUAGUUCUCACUUUGAGGAAACAUUCCUUUGAUGCCCAUGUUCAUUCCACUUGGAUGACAGAAUCCUCGAUAGUAUUAGUAUUAAUGAAUUAACUGUCAGGAUGUGUUGUCGUUCUUGAAGUAAGUCUUGUGAAAGAAACCACCGAGUUAAAAAUAGAGAUCUUGAUGGUUUUAUAUAUAAAAGUUUAAUGCUUGCCUAUUUAUACAUUUCCCAAGGACUGCUGAGGUAGAUGCGUUGUUCAGUUGACUAGGAUUUGUUUGAAUUCAAAGAUUAUCUAUUCAAGUCUUCUUUAUACGUUUGCAUGUGUUUGAUAAGAAUUCCAUUGAUUCAGAAAAAAAGUGCCAACAGUUUUUCCAACUUGACUGACACUACAACCUUCCAAUCAUAGCCAUACUACUAUGGUAUAAAA
Non-coding RNA from Schizosaccharomyces pombe (fission yeast), 2007 nucleotides. The record is from the annotation of a GenBank genome assembly. Lineage: Eukaryota; Fungi; Ascomycota; Schizosaccharomycetes; Schizosaccharomycetales; Schizosaccharomycetaceae.